RNAcentral lists this ribosomal RNA (465 nucleotides) under Vreelandella stevensii. RNAcentral describes it as "partial 16S ribosomal RNA". It matches the Rfam family "Bacterial small subunit ribosomal RNA", at positions 338 to 795 of the family's 1533-position model. The record is from RNAcentral. Lineage: Bacteria; Pseudomonadati; Pseudomonadota; Gammaproteobacteria; Oceanospirillales; Halomonadaceae.
CCUACGGGGGGCUGCAGUGGGGAAUAUUGGACAAUGGGGGCAACCCUGAUCCAGCCAUGCCGCGUGUGUGAAGAAGGCCCUCGGGUUGUAAAGCACUUUCAGUGAGGAAGAACGCCUGGUGGUUAAUACCCAUCAGGAAAGACAUCACUCACAGAAGAAGCACCGGCUAACUCCGUGCCAGCAGCCGCGGUAAUACGGAGGGUGCGAGCGUUAAUCGGAAUUACUGGGCGUAAAGCGCGCGUAGGUGGCUUGAUAAGCCGGUUGUGAAAGCCCCGGGCUCAACCUGGGAACGGCAUCCGGAACUGUCAAGCUAGAGUGCAGGAGAGGAAGGUAGAAUUCCCGGUGUAGCGGUGAAAUGCGUAGAGAUCGGGAGGAAUACCAGUGGCGAAGGCGGCCUUCUGGACUGACACUGACACUGAGGUGCGAAAGCGUGGGUAGCAAACAGGAUUAGAUACCCCAGUAGGC